UACAGAGGUCCCAAGCGUUGUUCGGAUUCUUUGGGCGUAAAGGGUGCGUAGGCGGCGCGGUAAGUCGGGUGUGAAAUCUCGGGGCUUAACUCCGAAACUGCAUUCGAUACUGCCGUGCUUGAGGACUGGAGAGGAGACUGGAAUUUACGGUGUAGCGGUGAAAUGCGUAGAUAUCGUAAGGAAGACCAGUGGCGAAGGCGGGUCUCUGGACAGUUCCUGACGCUGAGGCACGAAGGCCAGGGGAGCAAACGGG
This 253-nucleotide ribosomal RNA is filed under the name uncultured bacterium. RNAcentral's name for it is "partial 16S ribosomal RNA". It matches the Rfam family "Bacterial small subunit ribosomal RNA", at positions 524 to 776 of the family's 1533-position model. The record is from RNAcentral.